RNAcentral lists this ribosomal RNA (914 nucleotides) under Anaerolineaceae bacterium. RNAcentral describes it as "bacterial SSU rRNA". It matches the Rfam family "Bacterial small subunit ribosomal RNA", at positions 1 to 922 of the family's 1533-position model. Lineage: Bacteria; Bacillati; Chloroflexota; Anaerolineae; Anaerolineales; Anaerolineaceae. The record is from RNAcentral.
CAAACGGCGAGUUUGAUCCUGGCUCAGGAUGAACGUUGGCGGCGUGCCUAACACAUGCAAGUCGAACGGGAAGCCUCCUUCGGGGGGUGGAGAGUGGCGCACGGGUGCGUAACACGUGGUUAACCUGCCCUGGGGACGGGGACAACCGCUGGAAACGGCGGCUAAUACCGGAUGUCACGAUAUACGGGGGACUGUAUAUGGUGAAAGGGCGCUUAUGGCGCCCGCCCUGGGAGGGGACUGCGGCCCAUCAGCUGGAUGGUGGGGUAACAGCUCACCAUGGCGAAGACGGGUAGGGGAUCUGAGAGGGUGGUCCUCCACACCGGGACUGAGACACGGCCCGGACUCCUGCGGGAGGCAGCAGUGAGGGAUAUUGCGCAAUGGACGGAAGUCUGACGCAGCGACGCCGCGUGGGUGAAGAAGGUUUUCGGAUCGUAAAGCCCUUUUCUGCGUGACGAGGAUGACGGUAGCGCAGGAAGAAGUGUCGGCUAACUACGUGCCAGCAGCCGCGGUAACACGUAGGACACGAACGUUAUCCGGAAUUACUGGGCGUAAAGGGCGCGCAGGCGGUUAUACAAGACGGACAUGAAAGCCUGGGGCUCAACUCCGGGAGGCUGUCGGUGACUGUAUAACUUGAGCGUGAGAGAGGGGUGUGGAAUUCCGCGUGUAGUGGUGAAAUGCGUAGAGAUGCGGAGGAACACCGGAGGCGAAGGCGGCACCCUGGCUCACGGCUGACGCUGAGGCGCGAAAGCAUGGGGAGCGAACGGGAUUAGAAACCCCGGUAGUCCAUGCUGUAAACGAUGUGCACUCGAUGUUUGUCGGGCUACGGCCCGGUGGGUGUCCCAGUGAACGCGGUAAGUGCACCGCCUGGGGAGUACGGUCGCAAGGCUAAAACUCAAAGGAAUUGACGGGGGCCC